AGUUGAUGUGAGGAUAAGCCUUCGCAGAAACGCAUAGUUGUGUUGACUCGAAAAAUCAGACUACAAUUAUCUGAUCAACU
Molecule: small nucleolar RNA, 80 nt
Organism: Sorghum bicolor (sorghum)
Lineage: Eukaryota; Viridiplantae; Streptophyta; Magnoliopsida; Poales; Poaceae
Rfam family: Small nucleolar RNA Z155
About the family: Z155 is a member of the C/D class of snoRNA which contain the C (UGAUGA) and D (CUGA) box motifs. Most of the members of the box C/D family function in directing site-specific 2'-O-methylation of substrate RNAs.
Source: Rfam